CACUGCCAGCUCCUCCGUGAACCAGGGAGCCGAAGUGACUCUUCGCAAUGAGAGGGGACGUUCGGGGGCGAUCAUGUCAAUUGCCCUGGACAUCUCGCUAUUGUAGCGAUCUACCAAGGCAUCGACAGGAUCGUCAGCCUCCAUGACAGGAAGAUCCCCAAGAGACCUCAAGAAUCCAUCUGGAUCCAUCAGUCUCCUGGGGUGGACCAUCUUAAUGGGUCCACCACCCCUGCGGAGGUUUGAGGUCACAGUGAGUCUUAAACUGAUCAGGUGGUGAUCGGACCAUGACAACGGAAGAAUAUUUUGCUCUUCCACUCCGACCUCACCAUCUGCCGCAACAAAAACCAGGUCAAGUGUGUGUCCAGCUUGAUGAGUGGGACCAGAUAUCACUUGGGACAGUCCCAUGGUCGUCAUGGCGGCCAUGAAGUCUUCAGCUGCACCAGUUAAUGUGGCCUCGGCAUGAAUGUUAAAGUCCCCCAGCACUACCAGCCGCUGAGAGACCAAAGCCGUACCAGAGAUCACCUCUGCCAGCUUGGGCAGGGAGACUGCCGUGUCGCGGGGUGGACGGUACACCAGCAGAAUCCCCAAACUGUCCCGGGUACCCACCUUAAGAUGGACACACUCAAAACCUGCAGAUUGCGGGAUGGUGCACCUGACCAGGGAGAUUGUCAAUAAUAAUAAUAAUAAUAAUAAUAAUAAUAAUAAUAAUAAUAAUAAUAAAUCCCUUACAAUAUCCAAGAUGGCUCACUGCUACAGAAUCUUGGGAGCUUUAGUUUGGUAUGGUACCAUUAUUGGCAGAGAAAGCUAAGCUGUAGGAGUUGAAAUCCAAUCAUUUAUCCUCCCUAUAGAAUCAAUUUUAUAUGCAUUUUUAGCUACAGAAAAACUAAAAUCAGGACAGUAAAAGAACAACACCCAGAAAAUGGGAAUUCCAGAGAGGAAACAAUCAGGGCCAGCUAAUACCUCCCAACAAAGGAUUCCCCCAGGUAGGAAGCAGCCAGGAAACAAUCAGGGCCAGCUAAUACCUCCCAACAAAGGAUUCCCCCAGGUAGGAAGCAGCCAGGCUUUGAAGCUGCAAGGCUAUUCAAUGCUAAUCAAGGUGACCAAUUGCAACAUUCACACUUGCCUCCCACAGACAAGAGUUCUUUCUCCCACCCUGGACCUUCCACAGAUAUAUAAACCCCACUUGCCUAGCUUCGCACAGACGUCAAAACCUCACCGCUGGGCCCCUCUCUGUCUCUCUCGGUCUCUCCAUUCCCGGCUCCAUCCGCCGCCUUCCCGCCUCACAGAGAGACACCAGGCCUGA
Molecule: long non-coding RNA, 1303 nt
Filed under: Anolis carolinensis (green anole)
Lineage: Eukaryota; Metazoa; Chordata; Lepidosauria; Squamata; Anolidae
Description: lncRNA (ENSACAG00000034883.1)
Source: RNAcentral